UUCAAGUAGCGGUCAUGAACACCAGGAGGGGCUGUUGGGUGACGAUUCAACAUCUCCAGUCCAUCAAAAGAGCAUGACCGGUUGCAAAGGAGGCUCAAGGAACUAGCGCUAGUUCCUUGUUUGUAAGCUAAUCCUAUCUCUCUUAAAAAUGAACUUGUGACUGUGCCUGGUUAUUGUGAUGUGUAUUGAUUGAAAAACCUGAGGAUAAUGUGUGAUUGCUAAAUAUAAUUAGUUGAAUCUGUCCCAGGAUGCUUUAAAGGCUUGUUUAGUGGUUAAAGAUUAAAAUGCUUGCUCCUGUUAAGUAAUGAGUUUUCUAAAUGUGAAAUGAUAUUGUUUGAAGCUCAUGAACUGAAAACAGAUUGAAAGUAAUGCAUUGUCUGAUGUUAAGUGAUGAUAGUAAUGCUUAGCCUAAGUUAUAAAUGAAUGUGUGAUGGAUUGUAUUGCUGCAUUCAUGAAUCAAAACUGAUUAAGGUUAGUGCAUACUGUCACAUGGCUGUCUUACAUUGAAGCAUUAGAUUCAUGUCUAAAUGCUGAGUAAAGAAGCUUUAAAAAUUGCCUAAGUAGCUUGUAUUGAAUCUGCUAGGAUCAUGCUAGUGCUUAGAGAGUUUGCUUGCAAAGAUUAGAACUUGAAAAUGUCUAGUUUAAUCUGUUGCAUUGCUUAAAGACAUUGGUGUUCAAACUUGAUGAUAC
RNAcentral lists this long non-coding RNA (690 nucleotides) under Brassica napus (rape). RNAcentral's name for it is "long non-coding RNA (BNAP_LNC018836)". The record is from RNAcentral. Lineage: Eukaryota; Viridiplantae; Streptophyta; Magnoliopsida; Brassicales; Brassicaceae.